CUAUAUAACUGGAGCUAGCAAAGAGCAGUUGGAGAAAUCACCAUUCCUUGAGAGGCUAACAAAGAAAAAUUAUGAGGUAUGAGUCUUUCUUAAGAUAGAAAGGGAAGAUUGGAAUGCUGCAUAACAAAAUAACUAGUGGUUUUUUUAUUUUGACGAAAAGUAUUAGUCAUCGUUUCUUGCAUUGUGGGUUUGACUAUGUUCCUUGUCUUUGAUAUUUGAAUUCUCUUAUGAAUGCAUUUGUCAUGUCUUCUCUAAAGAUUCAUUUGCUAUGUUUGCCAUGUUUCAUUGUUUAGGUGAUUUUCUUCACGGACCCCGUAGAUGAAUACCUGAUGCAGUACCUUAUGGACUAUGAAGACAAUAAGUUCCAAAAUGUGUCCAAAGAGGGCCUGAAACUGGGCAAGGAUUCAAAAGCCAAAGAGCUCAAGGAGUCAUUUAAGGAGCUAACCAAAUGGUGGAAGGGUGCUCUUGCUAGUGACAAUGUAGACGAUGUCAAGAUUAGUAACCGUUUGGCCGACACCCCUUGUGUAGUUGUGACAUCGAAAUAUGGUUGGAGUGCCAAUAUGGAAAGAAUCAUGCAGUCACAAACUCUGUCAGAUGCAAACAAGCAGGCGUAUAUGCGGGGGAAAAGGGUGCUUGAGAUCAACCCUAGGCACCCAAUUAUCAAGGAGCUUCGGGAUAGAGUAAUCAAGGACCCUGAGGUACACUUGAUUUUAUCUCUACACAUGUGAUCAAACGAUAAAUGUUAUAGAAAUGGCUAACUGUUACUAAUUUCAUUAACUUGGUUCACAGGAUGAGAGCGUGAAGCAAACGGCUCAGUUAAUGUACCAAACAGCAUUACUGGAGAGUGGUUUCCUGCUCAAUGACCCAAAGGAUUUUGCCUCCCGCAUCUACAGCUCAGUUAAGAGCAGUUUAAAUGUCAGCCCUGAUGCAACAGUUGAGGAAGAAGAGGAUAUUGAGGAACCUGAAGCUGAAACUGAUGACAAAGAAGCUGCUGCCAAAGAUGAUUAUGAUGCCAAGGACGAAUUAUAGAUUAGUCCAGAAGAAUGUCCUUUCUCUAGAGAAAACUACGUAGCAGUCACAUGCUAUAAUCGGAGUGCAUGUGGAUAAUUAGGUUUCAGAUUUUUUAUCCUAGGUUAAUGUUACAAGUUAUCAGGAUUUUGUCUGUUUCAAUUUCACAGAUUUUUGUAUGAGAACGUUGCUGAGUUUUCUGCAACAUAAUGUAAUCUGCGAUCCUCUUUUCCUUUUUACCUCCAGCUGCUAUCCUCAUAGAUGCCCUUGCCAAGUACACCAAUCUCAAGAUGCACCAUCUAAUUUCUAGCCUAGUCCACGGAGGAGCUCUUUGUUGGUUUUAAGCUUUGAAUGCUACCUAAAAUCAAAAGUAUUGCAGGUCUACUGAAAGUUUCAUAUAGCCUGUUUGACCAAGCUUCUUUUGAGGCAAAAUCGUCUUUUCUUUGGUCAAAAGUGUUUUUUUCUAAAAUUAAGUUGUUUGGCCCAGCUUUUGAAAGGAAAAAAAAAAAGCUUUUGAAGAGAAACAGAAGCAGAAAAGUGUAGUUUCUGUCCAAAAGUAAAAAAUACUUUUGAGAAAAAUACACUUAGAAACAAUUUUUUAAAACUUGGCCAAACACUAAUUGCUGCACAGAAGUACUUUUUAAAUUAUUUAGCCAAACACAUUGUUUCUAACUAAAAGUACUUUUGAGAAAAAGUAUUUCUCAAAAUAAAUUGCCGACACCAAGCACCCCGGCAACUCAAGUAACCACAAAAUGAGAUAGAGGGAGCAAUAAAUAAGGGAUCAGGGCUUUUCCCAUUCACAGCUAAUAUCAACCUCAUCCCAAUUAAGGGGAAUAAACACAAUCACAUCAAUAUUUCAGUCUCAUCCCAAAUAAGGGGAAUAAUCACAAUCACAUCAAUAUUUCAGUCUCAUCCCAAAUAAGGGGAGUAAUCAAAAUUCACCCCUACACCGGAACGUGUUUGCAGCUUGGCCAAAUGGGCUAAUAGUGUACUAGUAUGUGUUUUUGAAUCCCAUGUAAUCGUCACUGAAUUUUAUCUCAAAAUGCCCGACCAAAGUUAGGGAGAAAUUCAAAAAUAGCCAGAUUUUCAAGUGGUCAUUCAAAAAUAGUCACAGUUUCAAAAGUAAUCGAAAUUUAGCCACUUUUCAUGUAAAAAUAAAUUUGAAUGAAAAUACUAUUCAAAAUUCGGAAAAUACUCCAGCAUAAUAUACUGGAAUUCCAGCACAAGUAUACUGGACUUCCAGUAUAAUAUACCNNNNNNNNNNNNNNNNNNNNNNNNNUUUGCAAACGCUGACUAUUUUUGAAUGACCAGUCCGAAAACUGGCUACCCGUGCUAUUUUUACCCAAAGUUAAUGUAUGUUUAACCUUAUGCGAUGCAAGAUGAUUCGCAAUAGGGCAAUGCAAUAUCAAGGAGAAAUCUUUUUUUGCAUGAAUAUAGGUUACUAUGAGAUUUUUCAAGUCUGCAAGAGGGGUUAACUUCGGAAAUAGUCAAUCCAGACGUACCUUGUUGUAUAGCACCUUACUCAUUUUGUCCCUAUGAGGGACAAUAAUAGUGAAAAACAUAAAGAAAUUUCAGCAAGAUCAACAAUGAAAUAGGGAAUUUAUUAGUAUAUUCAUAUACACAGUUACAUAUAAAAAAAAUUUAAAUGACUUGAUUGUAUUCUACACUUUAAAUGAAUAAAACGAACUUUUUUUUUACAAAUGUACCGGAUAUGGAAAAGAUGCAUUUUUAUAUAACACUUACUUCUUGACAAGAGAGGGUUGCUGAAUUGGUAAGCACUCUUCAUUAGGGGUGGGUAUAAGCCGGUUCAAUUCGGUUCGGUUUUGAACGUUAUCAGUUAGUAAAUCAGUUAUCAAUUUAUGAAUAUGCUAAACCGAUAAUCGAACUAAUUUAUCGGAUAUCCAUUAAUCGGUUAUCGAUCGUCAACUGUUUGAUUAUCGGUUUACCCGAUAAGACAAAUUAAUGACUGAUGAUUAAUGAGUCUUUUGUACAGGAGCUUCAUGAGCUUAGCAAAAUGAAUCGUAAUUAAUGCCUUAACAGAACCAAAAGUUGUUAGAAUUGUGACACAACAAUAGAUAAACUAGUUUAUCGCUUCUCGUCUAGGUUAUUGCUAUCACUGAGCACUUACAUGAUUGUAAUCUCUCAUUUACGCCAUAGAAAUUUAGAAGAAUAUCUCUUGUAUUGAUCACGUUCUAUUAAUAUUCUAGAUUAUCAGGUCAGAGUUUCGCUACGUGAUUCUAUAUGGGUCAAAAUUCUGACUUUAGAAUAUUUGAGCCAAGAUAGUACUAAGGGAAGGGUUCCCAAGUCAUCGUUUGUUGAAAUGGCCCAAGAAACAGCGAAUCCCGUGGUCGAAAAGUUAAUGAGAACCGUAGUCGAGGUGUCAACAAGGGUCAAGGCCGAGGUCGAGUACCGUUGACAGAGCUGUAACGGCUAGUUUUCAAGAUAGGAUUAAUAUUCUAGUGGAUAUUCUUUGCACUUGUACUAUUAGGGUUUCUUAGGAAUAUGUCCUGUAUAAAUAGAAGAGUUUCUUAGGAAUAUGUCCUAUAUAAAUAGAAAAAGACACAAUGAUAGGGGAUAUGUGAUACUCAUUUGUAAAAAUACACACUUUGACUUGAGAAAGAGAAUCAGAUCUCACUUGCUAAGAUACAAACAUCACCUUUUCACUAAAAUUCUUGUCAAUACUUUUCCACUAGAUAUGAGAAUAACUCAAAUAUUCAAGGGAUUGUCUAUCAUUCAUCAUUGUUAGAAAGAACAUCCCCUUAUUCCAUCCUUUCUUGAGUGAAUUAUUCCUUCUAUUUACUUAAAUGUCAUUUAUUGCUAUUCAUUAUUAUUGAAUGCUAUAUUAUUGCUUCUGAUUUUUAGAACAUUUAUUGUAUAUUACUGUUACUGCCCGACUAGAUCCAGGCAAUAUUUAUCGCUUCUUUAAGAACUCCAUCUAAGGAUAUAAUUAUUAGCUAAUAUUUGAACCAAGAUAUAUAUUUUUUGGUCAAACAAUUUGGAGCUGUAUGUGGGGAUUUCUUUGUUAAAUUUUUAGUUUCCUCUAGAUCUACAACUAAUAUAGGUCACUAACGUCAAAAAACCCAAGAUCUCAUUUUUGUGUGUAUAUACAAUACCGUACAUGGCAGGUAACCAAGGAGAAAGGGAGAGAAUAACAAGUGACUUCCCAACUAACCUCAUGAAUGUCAUCAACUAAAGCUGUGAAACGGCAGGUGAGGACACGAUGCCCAGUGCGUCCCCUAGGCGAGAGGGAUCAUCGCCCCCACACUGCAGCAUAACGAAACCCCGUGGUAAAACUCCUCGAGGCGUGGCUAACCGACACACUAACAAGCGUCCUCAACAAACUCGCUCCAGGCAUGAUUCAGAAACCACAAGGACUUGCACGAUACAACAAACAUACGAGCAGUGCAACCAACCCCUCUCUCCAACGACAGGUACAACUCACAAUGUUAGUGCAGGUGACAAGGCCAUCACUGUCAUUUUAAAAAGGAUGGAAGAAAAAUAGACUGAAAACAAGGCGCUCCGAAACCAAAUGAAAGAAUACCAAGAAUGGGCUGACAAGAUACCGGGCGCUCCUAAGUUGCUGCCGAAAAGGUAUGCCGGUAGGUUCAUCGAGCAGCCAUAUAGUGAUGAUGCAGUCCCGCAUGCCAUACCAAAAACCUUCAGAAUGACGCCCUACCUCAGGAUUUACAACGGCACGACCGGCCCUGAAGAUCAUGUGAGUCACUACGUCACCACCGUGAAAGGUAACGAUCUCGCCAAGGAACAAGUGUACUCCAUUUUGCUGAAGAGGUUUGGCAAAACUCUCACAUGAGGGGCAUUAACAUGGUAUUCGCAGCUACCAGCACGCUCCAUUGAAUCUUUUGAAAAAAUGGUCGACAAGUUCGUAACCGCCCAUGCCAAAGCCAAGAAGGCCGAGGCGAGAGUGAACGACAUAUUUGUUAUUAAUCAGUCCCUGGGAGAGGGACUUCCUCGCCCGGUUCAACAGAGUAAGGAUGACUCUGCCAAACAUAUCCGAAGGGAUGGCGGUCGCAGCUUUUCAGAACGGGUUGAAUCAAGAGGAAAAUUAUUGAGUCGAUUGCUGAAAUAUCCUCCAACCACUUGGGAUGAAAUCCACAAUGCUUAUUCUGCCGAGGUCCGAGCAAAUGAGGACGAUCUCAACGGACAACUCACUGGCUAACCUCAGUACAGGCCGAAUCUAGAAAAGAACGAAGAGACAGUACCAGAAGAGAUCACCCGAUUCCAUGACCUAACAGGGAACGACACCAACCAUAUGUCAGGGCGGCCGCCGCACCCUCCCUUCGUUAUGAAGAAGGCCCGUCCAGACCAAGGACAGGGACCCAUCAGAACGAAAGAGGUAUGCCUCCUUUAUUAUCCGCUCACAAUUUUUGUGUAUCGCCUACAGAAAUAGUCUACGCCCUAGAGAAACUCGGAACAUAAGUGAAGUGGCCGCCAAAGAUGAGAUCAGACCCGAACACCAGAAAGUCUGAUGCCCUCUGUGAGUUCCACCAGGAACGCGGGCACAAAAUAGAAGAUUGCAUCGCCCUCAGAUAGGAAGUCGUAAACAUGUUACGGCAAGGGCACCUCAAAGAACUAUUAAGUGACAAAGGGAGGACCAACUUCACCAGAGGACGUGAACAUCGUGGACCGCCAAAGCCGCCAUCCCCAGCUCGUACCAUCAACGGUGGCGGCGAUGAUGCCUUUGUCAACGGCGUGAAGUUCACCACCACUUACAAACUCAAGCGGUCGAUCACCCGCGAAAGGUAUGACAGACUCGAAGAGAGUAUUAUCUUCGACGAGUUAGAUGCCAAUGGUUUGACUUUCCCUCAUAAUGAUGCCAUUGUUAUUACUUUAUGCAUUUUAUAUACCGAUAUCAAACAUAUCAUGGUGGACGAUGGAAGCGGUGCAUGCAUUAUCCAUCCCCGAGUCCUUACCCAAAUGAAGCUCGAGGAUAAGAUAGUGUCGUGAUGCAUCACACUAACUGGUUUUAAUAAUGCAAUUGAGCGAACAUCCGAGGAAAUUACACUCCCCGUCUUGGCCGGCGGCAUAACUCUAGAGAUAACAUUCCACAUCAUGGACCAAGCCACCGCGUACAAUGCCAUAGUGGGUCGGCCAUAGAUAUAUCCCAUGAGAGUCGUCCCCUCCAGCCUAUACCAAGUGAUUAAAUUCCUAACACCAUGGGGGAUAUUCAACAUACGUGGGUAACAACGCACAUCCCGGGAAUGCUACUGCAUUGCCUUAGACAACAUGACCACCCAACAGAGAAAAGACAAAGAAAAAAAGGCAUAGCAAUCAACAGGGUCGAGGUCGGAGCAAGAUGAGAUAUAUGACAUCAUCAAGAUCCCGACAUGGUCGAAGCCGCAGGAUUGACCAUAGAAGACCUCGACCCCAUUCAAUUGGACGUCAACGAUCAUAGCAAGAAGGCCUAUAUCGGCUGCAAACUUUGGAACCGUGUAAAUUCCGUCAAUUCUUAACAGUUAACGUUUUGUUUGCUUUCAGCCAUGCAGAUAUGUCGGCUAUCCCAAAGGAAAUCGCCAGGCAAAAAUUAAACGUCGACCCAUUCUACCUCUAGUGAGACAUGUCGGGCAUAAAUUCAACCUCGCUAUCAAUGACACAGUCCGCGAGAAGGUGGAAAAAGUGUUAGAAAAUGGUUCUAUCAGGGAGUCGAAGUACCCCGAGUGGGUCGCCAACGCAGUGAUGGUCAAAAGAAAAAUGGGAAAUGGCGAAUGUGCGUGGGUUUCACAGAUUUGAACAAAGCAUGUCCGAAGGAUUCAUUCCCAUUACCUUAUAUCAACCAACUCAUCGAUGCAACGGCCGGCAUGAGCUACUAAGUUUCUUGGACGCUUAUUCAGGAUAUAAUCAGAUCCUCAUUGAAAAAGAAGAUCAGGAAAAGACCAUGUUCAUCAUGCACCAAGGAACGUAUUGCUACAGGGUCAUGCCAUUUAGACUAAAAAACACAGAGGCUACUUAUCAAAGGUUGGUAACAAAGAUGUUCAAAGACCAGCUCGGAAAAACAAUAAAGGUAUAUAUAGACGACAUGUUGGUCAAGUCCAAAAGGGUAGAAGAUCACAUCGAUCAUUUGAAAGAAACUUUUGACAUACUCAAACGGUAUGGAAUGAAGCUGAACUCGGAGAAAUGCGCGUUCGGUGUAGCCUCAAGAAAGUUCUUGGGUUUUCUGGUAUCGCAUAGAGGGAUUGAGAUCAACCUAGACCAAAUCAAAGCCAUUGAAGGGAUACCAGAACUCUUGACCACAAAAAAUAAGUCCAAAGGUUGAUUGGUUGUAUCGCCGCCCUAUCAAGGUUCAUCUCCCGGUUGUCGGAUAGGUGCCAUAAAUUCUUUGGCAUACUCAAGAAAGACAACGGCCUCGAAUGGACUUCCGAGUGUGUCCAGGCUCUGCGAGAACUAAAGGCAUACCUGUCAUUACCACUAUUGCUUUUGAAACCUGAACCUGGAGAGCAGCUCGUCAUCUAUCUAGAUGUAUCUGAGGUAGUAGUAAGCGCAGUCUUAAUCCACAAAAACAAAGGUACACAAUCUCCCAUCUAUUACAUUAGCAAAAUAAUCGUCGACGCCGAGACGAGGUACCUACGCCUUAAAAAAUUGGCUAUGGCCUUGGUCGUAACUUCACGAAAGCUUAGACCAUAUUUCCAAUGUCACCCCAUCUCGGUCAUCACAACUUCCCCCCAUGAGGAGCAUUUUGCAUAAACACAAGCUAUCGGGAAGGCUAGCCAAAUGGGCUAUCGAGCUAAGUAAGCACGAUAUCAUAUACCAGCCGCGAACGACGAUAAAGUCACAAGUGCUCGCUGACUUCGUCGCCGACUUCAGCGCAAAAAUAAUGCCUGAAGUUGUCCAAACUUCCCUCCAAACACAAUACCUCUAGGUCCUAUACACCGACGGUGUAUCCAACACGUCAGGGUCCAGAUUGGGACUCAUACUCGAGGUCCCAACAUGCGAAGUGAUUUGCCAGUUCAUAAGGUGCCCGGAUAUGACUAACAAUGAUGCCGAGUAUGAGGCCAUAAUCCCAGGUUUAAGGCUAGCACUCAAAUAUGGAGCGAAACGGUUGAAACUGCGUUGUGAUUCCCAGCUCUUAGUCAACCAAGUCACAUGGACUUUCCAAAUCAAGGAACAAAGAUCGCAACAAUACCAGACCAAAAUCUGCAAGCUACUACCUGAGUUCAACGAAUGUCAGCUCGAUCAAAUCCCACGAGCACAGAAUGCCAAGGCAGAUUGCCUCGCCAAAUUAGCCGCAGCUUCCAAAAAAAUCAUGACCGGAGAUAAAAGCGUAGUUCACCUCCUCAACUCAUCACUGAACCAAGUCGAGGUAAGAACCAUAAACUUAACUUGGGAUUUGCGCAAUUGUGUUGUCGCAUACUUGCAGGAUGGCACACUCUCUGUCGACAAAAAAGAGGCCAAGAAACUAAGAAUGCAAGUGGCCAGAUACAGUAUCCUCUACAACGAUCUGUACAAAAGGACCUACGGCGGCCCUCUGGCGAAGUGCUUGGGCCCCAACCAAACUCAGUGCGUCCUCGAAGAAGUCCACGAAGGCCAUUGUUGGGCUCACUUCGGUAAUCGGGCAUUGGUCAGAUGCCUCAUACGGGCAGGAUAUUAUUGGCCCACAAUGAAAAAGAUGUCAUAGACUUCAUGAGGAGAUACGAGCAGUGCCAAAAGUAUGCCCUAAUGAUUCACCAGGCAGGCGAACAUCUCCACUCAGUCACCUCCCAUUAGCCGUUCAUCAAAUGAGGAAUGGACAUCGUGACCCCCCCUCCAAGUAGGGCAAGGUAAUGUAAGAUUCCUUUUGGUUUUAACUGACUAUUUCUCUAAGUGGGUGGAAGCAGGAGCAUUCGCCCAAAUACGGGAACAUGAGGUAAUCACCUUUAUAUGGAGAAAAAUCAUCUGCCGGUUUGGCCUUCCUAAAGAAAUCAGCUGUGACAAUGGACCAGUUCACUGGAAAGAAAAUUGUCGAAUUCUUCGAGAAAUGACAUAUCAAGAGGAUACUCUCGACCCCAUAUCACCCCACGAUUAACGGGCAAGUAGAGUCCUCCAAUAAGUCAAUACUAAACAUCAUGAAGAAGAAGCUCGAAGACGCUAAGGGACUGUGGUCGGAAAUACUACCAGAAGUAUUAUGGGCCUACCGAACAACUCCAAAAACAAGCACAAGAGAGACGCCAUACUCUCUGGUCUACGGGACCGAGGUAGUAAUACUAGUCGAGGUCGGAGAACCCAACCUAAGGUACUCCCAGGAGAGUGGCAUGAGUAACAACGGGAGUAGAAGGCAGGAACUCGGGGAAGUCGACGAACGAAGAGAUAUGGCCUACAUAAGAAUGGUCGCCCAACAACAACAAGCAGAACGCUAUUACAAUAAGAAAGCAAAGGUUAGGCCACUCAAAGUCGGGGACUACUUACUAAAAUCUAAAACUCAAGUGAGCAAAGAUCCUAGGGAGGGCAAGCUGGGAACAAAUUGGGAUGGUCCGUAUAAAAUCACAGCCGAAGCAAACAAGGGUUUAUUCCAAUCAGAGACAAUGGAAGGAAAGCUACUACCAAACAAUUGGAAUAUCAGCCACCUCAAAUACUUCAACUUCUAAGAGAAAAAACGUCCCCCAAGUCGUACUUUUUUUCCCCUCACUUGAGUUUUGUCUAAUUUGGGUUUUCUCAAUGAGGUUUUUAACGAGGCUACGAAGGGAACGCUUCGAGUCGAAGUAUGCGAAAGUAACGUCGUGGUUACUAUUUCAUUGCUCUACCUCUCAAUACUCUCCAGAUCGACCAAUGAAGGGACUAGAUAGACUGGGACUGGGACUGGAACGUCAGCCAACACCCAAAAUUUGUAAAUUUCUCCAAGUAUGUAACCAAAGAAACAAUGUCAAAUCAAUAAACUUUACACUUACCAGCAUACCUUUUUCACAUUAAUGUUAUGUUCGAUUACGAUCGAACAAACAACCACCGUUCUUCGGCCGCAAUUUAAUAAAAGGUUAUGUUCGACCCCGCUCGAACAAACAUCUACCGGCCCUCGAUUACAAUUUAAUGAAAGGUUAUGUUCGACUCCGCUCGAACAAAUACCUACCGACCCUCGACUGCGAUAUAACGAAAGGUUAUGUUCGACCUCCUUCGAACAAACACCUAUCGGCCAUCAACCAUAUCCCAACAAAUAAACAAAAAUAUACACAAGUAUAGAAAAUAAACCACAUGAAAGGAAGAAAAUGCAAGGAACAACUUUGAUAUUUCACAUACUUAAAAUUGUUUACAAUAGGCUCUUGAAGACGAUGCCAAAAAAUAUACAAAAAAAAACAAAAGAGAAGACUCCUGGCCACCACCAUCACGACCUUCAACAUCCUCGCCGACUUCUCCUUCAACAACGUCGCCACCCUGACAAUUAAUACCCUCGCUAUCGCCUCCUUCGCCCUCAGGAUAUGCAGCGUCAUACCAGGCAUUCUCCUCGAGCCGGUCUAUACCCUUAUCCACCUCGUCCUCACCAACCUCAGGCAUAACGGGAUCCUACCCAUAAGUGACUUGAGCUCCAUGAGAUUUAACACGAACAUCUUGGAGGGCAGCCUCAGAAACGGAUCCUGCUGCAUGUAAAUCUCAAAAGACAUCUAACUAGGCCUCGGCAUGAAUCCACUCCUCAUAACUCUCCCGAGGAACAUUAGGAAAAUCUGAAGUACAAGAAGAGGACGGUUGCGCCAGUAAUCGGGCCUUCUCGGCCUCAAGAGCAAUAACUCGAUCGUAGAGGCCAGAAGUCUCUUUCUCCAACUCUCAAAUCCUCUCAUCAAGCCGCUGUUCUUUAAGCUUUGCCGUUUCUUAGCCAUUUUCUUGCUCAAAACAGAGAGUCUAGAUCACCACCUCAAGAGACUCUGCCUUCCUCAAAGCCUCCGACCGAGUGGAGUCUGCCUUCUCUAAAUGCUCUGCCUUCUCGGCGACCUCGCCACUUAGAGCCUCCGCCCUGAAUUGACACUCCUCAAGAUGGGCACGCAGCACAACCACCUGAGCUUAGAGAUCGCUGUACUGGGCUUCGACCCCCUUGUUGAGCUCAAGCUCUUCCUUUUUUCUCCUCAACAUCCCCUCCAGGACGCUGCACUUCCCCACCAUCCACACCAGCUCCUCAUCCCUGGCCUUCAAGUCCCACCUCAGUCGACGCACAUUGCCGCCCCCACUAAGCUGACACCGAAGCUCCCGGUACUUCUCAAGGACUCUGAAGUACUAGUCCUUCAACUUUACAUAGAUAUCUUUACGCCUCUACUCCCUACGAGCACUCUCAAUUUCUAAGACGACCGUCUGCAAAAUGAACAAAAGCAGUUAGAGACUGUGAAAGAACAAAACCAAAGGAAAAACAACUAACAUCGAAUAUACUUACCCGAAGGGCGAGGCCGGCAAUGUUAUUUGACAGGUCAUUGUCAUUCAUAUCCUUGAGGGUCGUACCCUCAACUUCAGAACUGAGAGGGACAAAGGAAAGGAUAAUCUACUUGGUAUUCACGAGAAGAUUACGGUCCAUCGAGAUCGUAGUAGUCCUCGAACCCCCCUCCAACCUCACUUCAAUCUGCGUAAGCCCCUCGUCGAUCAUCCUCAGCUUAUCUGCAUCCAUGUAUGAAUCAGAUCCAACAUCCUCAUCAUCAACAACCUUACUUCUAUCAUCAGUCGAAGGAGGUACGUCUGACGAGCGCAAAAUAUAACACAAAAUUGAUGGUCGUUAAUCAAAGAUAGUAUAGUAUAAUAUCGUCUUCAUAGGGAUUGAAUUUAAAUAAUAUUUAAGUAAAUUAUGGUUUAAUUGUUAUUCAGGAGGAUCAACACUUGAGUUAAAUGAUUAUAAACUAAGUUUAACUACUAAAAUAAAGUAAUUAACAAUAAAGAAUUGGGAGAUUCGUAGAGUUGGGUUCUUAUAAAUAUGAGGAAUAAAAGUUUUGACAUGAUAUGUGCAAGAUAACUAUUUGGGAUUUAACUCUAGUUUAAUUCACUCUAAUAUUUUAAUGAUUCUCACGAAUUCACUCGAUUAUUUGUUCGAACGUGUAGUGAAGACUCCUCUCUCGAUUAAAUCUUAACUCUACGAGGUGAACUAAUAUAAGCAUUGUGAAGUAUGCAAGCUAGCAUUAAUGGGUUGGUCCUUAGGAAAACGUCUCUCGUAUAUUCUCCUAACUUGAUUCAAUCAACAAUUCAACAAGCUCUUUCGAUUACUUAAGAGAAUCAAUGAAUUAAAUCAAACAAAAUAAUGCAAAGAUAAUCACCAAGAUAUUCCUCUUUCGAUUAAAUAAACUGAUGAAUAAAGUUGCAACAAUUAAAAACUCCAUAAACGAAUUCAAGCAUGAACUAGAGUUAAAAUCCACAAAUAUUUAUCAAAACUUCAUAUCCGUCAAAUCCUAAGGUAAACUACUCCAUAAUCAUGGAGGAAAUUAUCACAAUUAUAAUUAAAGAAUAAGAAAGCAUCAAUCUAACUUUACAAUCCAGACUCCCGUAUUGAAUUGAUGAAAAUAUGAUGAAAUCCCGUGUCUUGUAGCCUCCAAUGCUCUCCCAAAGGUUCAGAGGUCAAAAGUCCCUUUAAAAAUAUCUUUUUGGUGUAUUUAUACCCGGUGAAAUUACCUUUUCCAAGUCAAAACAGGACAAAUACUCUGAGAAAAUUACAUAGGUGUGUCGCGCGUUGCGCCAUCCCAUGCGGGGCGCUAGUGGGGAAAUUAAGAGAGCAAGUUCUUACGGGCAGUAGGAAAAUUACACUACAACGCGGCUCCAUGCACCGCCUCAUGUGGCACGACAGUGGAGGUUUUACAUAGUUACAAUUUUUCUUCGCGUUUUGACAUCCAGGCUCGGCUCCCGACCACCGAAUGCGAUCCCCGUUUAAUCCCUUGGCUUUUACUAGGACUUCAAAGCCCCAACUUGCUCAAUUUAGCUCCCGAUUAUUUUUUUAAACUCGAAAUCACUUCCUAACAAGGCAUAAAACAUAUAAUAUAAGUGUAAUACACUAAUAUUCAAGCUCAAACACAAGUAAAAUACAGUAAUUAGAGUGCAAACUAUGACUAAAAUGCACGAUUCUAGCUUACCAUCAACGUCUGCCGCAACAACGGAAGACGAGGCCUCUUUGUGUCUUGGAAGAACAGGGUUGUCACGACCCAUCACACCUUCGACCGCAACCCCCUCAGGUUGUACAUCCGUAUCCUCCAAGAAAAUGGUCUUGGGACUAGCCUCUGGGCUCUCCCUGAUAUGCAAUGUGGUCGUCUCCAGAAGGACAAAGCCUCAGUCUCCCACAUCGGUGGCCGUCGACCUCUCCCCAUGACAUCCACGACCCUCCUCUUACAAGGCAUCAAAUCCCCAUCACCAAGCAAAGGCUCUUCGUCCUCAUCGAUAAGACGUUACAAGGGAGGAGUCGAGGUUUCUGCGGCCUAAGUCUCCACGACUGAAGAAGGGAUAGAUUCAGAUACAGCCACUAGAGGGACCAGGGCAUGAAUAGAAGCAACCGCAAUCGAAGAAGGGACCAGGGCACGAACAGAAGCAGUCGCACUCAAAGAAGGGGCGGGAGCCGAAGGCGUAGUAGCUUUCCUCUUUUGGAACGAGGGUGCGGGAGCUUUCGACCUCUUCGAAGAUCCCAUGACCGAAGCUAGGAAAAACAUAGGGAAGAGGAAAGAUCAGCAAAGGUAAACAAAAAGACAAAAAGAACUAAGACACGAGUGAUAAAAGGAACUUACCAGUCGAAGGGAGAGCAGGCCCAAACUUCUUAAAGAAACCUGACCACUCAUGGAUCCAUACGACGUGAGGGAGGAGCCGAUCAACCCAGUCAGAAAUGUCUUCGACCAAAGGAGGAGGCGAAGUUUCGGCUGCACAAGAAAAUGACAAGAGGUCAAAGCCCACGACCAAGCACGGGAGAAAAAUCAAAUACCUACAAACAAGGAAAUUAGUUACUUACGAGCAUGAUUCCAAGCUUCAGGAAAACCAUCGACACUGGCCACCACGUCCUCUAUUCUGACGAAGAAGAAGUUGAACCAAAAUUGGUGGUUGUCUUUGUCGUCCAUUUUCACCACCAAGAACUUGCCUCCUCGGUGGAGAAGAUUCAAGUGCCGAAGCAUCAGUUCGACCUCGGCUAGCUCGAAAAAUUUGGUGUGUAUCCUUAUAAGCUUAUAAAGGUACGAUGCGAGCUGAGCUGGGCAAACGCCGUAAUAAUGACACAAUUCCUCCACCGGCUGAAGGAGAGGGAGAGUGUAGCCGACUUGGAAGGGGUAGCGUAGAAGGCACAAUACCCAGGACGGUGGACCUGCACAGUAUCCCACCCAGCCGGGAUUAAUUCGAUGUGAUUGGGAAGGACUUAGCCUUAAGCUCUCCCAAUUCCUUCACCGUCAUCACUGACCGAAAGGCUUCAUGGUCAGUAUCAGGUAAUUUGGAGAAAUCAGAUAUAGUAUCAAGGUUGUGAGGAAUUACUCCUUCACCAACGGGAAGCUUCCAUCCUCAAUAACGGCAAGAACAUUCUCCUCGUGAGGGGGAAACACCAUCGCCAAAGGGAUCACAUCACUUCCCUCACUAGACUUAGAAUCCAUGUUAGACAUGUUUUGAUAAAAGAAAGAAAGGUAUCAAACGAUGAAGAACUGGGAACAAUGCAAAUCACUGGAACAGAGAGGAGAGGUUUAAAGCAAAAAAAAAGCAAGAGAGUAACAUAGGGUUUCGAAACAACAGAAAACUUAAAACUUCAAAAUCACACCAAAAUACCUCAGGAUCUUGCCACCAAGACCGAAAAUGGUUCAUCAUUACUGGGCACCGAAACCGAAGCGACAAGUUCAAUCAAAGGACACAUGCGAAACGAAGCAACACAUCGGGAAUAUGCGUCAAAAUGACGCAUAACGUCAUGACGUCAUCCUAACUCGUGGACAUCAUAGCUCCAACAAAUCGCCUGGGAAAAUCGAAGCGUUUGAAAUGAGCAGCCCACGUAGGGCCACGUUGCCAGUUUGCUGUAACCACCAUGACCUGCACAGCUCGCUCGAUUAUUUUAACCACAACGAACAAGAUUCGCUCAUCGAACCCGCCUGAAGCCGGCCUCAAUAAGCUGAGGGACUAACUGUAUGGGUCAAAAUCUGACUUUAGAAUAUUUGAGCCAAAAAUAGUACUAAGGGAAGAGUUCCCAAGUCGUCGUUUGUCGAAAUGGCCUAAGGAGCAGCGAAGUCUGUGGUCGAAGAGUCAACGAGAGCCAUAGUCGAGGUGUCAACAAGGGUCGAGGCCGAGGUCGAGUACCGUUGACAGAGUUGUAACAGCUAGUUUUUAAGAUAGGAUAUUAAAGAGAAUAUUCUAGUGGAUAUUCUAUGCACUUGUACUAUUAGGGUUUCUUAGGAAUAUAUCCCAUAUAAAUAGAAAAAGAGACAAUGAUAGGGGACAUGUGAUACUCAUUUGUAAAAAUACACACUUUGACUUGAGAAAGAGUAUCAGAUCUCACUUGCUAAGAUACAAAUAUCACAUUUUCACUAAGAUUCUUGUCUAUACUUUUCCACUAGAUCCGAGAAUAACUCAAAUAUUCAAGGGAUUGUCUAUCAUUCAUCAUUGUGAGAAAGAACAUCCACUUAUUCCAUCCUUUCUUGGGUGAAUCAUUCAUUCUAUUUACUUAAAUACCAUUUAUUGCUAUUCAUUAUUAUUGAAUGCUAUAUUAUUGCUUCUGAUUUCUAGAACGCUUAUUGUAUCCAACCAGAUCCACGCAAUAUUUAUCGCUUCUUUAAGAACUCCAUAUUUGGAUAUUAUUGUUAGCUAAGAUUAAUNNNNNNNNNNNNNNNNNNNNNNNUUUAAGUUAUAUAAUAUUGACUGUAUAGGUAUUUCUUUUAUUAGUAUAAUUUAACUUAUUAUAGCAUGUUAGUUAUCAUGUUUAUCGAGUUAUCAAUUAAUGUUUGUAACAAACAUUUGAUAAUUGUUUUGUAAGUCAUUCUUUAAAUAGUUUUAGACAAUUAUGCAUGGAACUUCAUUCUAGUUAAAAAUAUUUUCACAAGGAAUGCUCGAAGGUUAAAACUAUUGACUUGACUUCGCUGCAUAAUGUAUGGUCACCACUCACCUUACAUCUUUUGUACUUACCAAUGAAAGAAGAACACGUGGUUCUCAGACGUAGCUGCUACGAUAAGUAAUUCCCUGUAAUUCUAUUCCAUGAACCUCAACGCAGAAGAUAGAAACCAGGUCUUCGUUCGCGUCGACUUGUAGAACAAAAGUUUUCUCCACGUCUGAAGAGGCGACAGGAACCAAUAAAAUCACGCCACGUAUAGAAUCACACAUCUUAACCGUUGGAUCGUCCACGCUGGCAAAAAGGAGAUCAAUUAGGAAAAUGAAUCUCCUAGGUGACACAUACGGCGACGAGCUCACUAUAUAUAGUCGCUCAAUGGAAAUGGCGCAACUUAAAGAAGCAAAAUUUCAAAAGCCGCUGAGGUCUGAGAGUGAAAUCCAAUACAAAUGAGGAAGUGGACGAUCCCUUCCGUUCUGUUUCUGUUAUGUCUUCUUUUCCUUCUUCCAGAUCAAGGUAAACUAGGGUAUUAUGUUCAGCUUCCUGUAAAUUUUGAGAUCUCAUGGAAUUUUCUUGUUAUAUGUAUGUAAGACUGCAAUGUUAUUUUUGAAAUAGUUGAAUUAGAUGAUAAACUAAUACUGUGUAUCGAGCAUUGGGCAGUAAAUUUGCCUUAUUAGUCUUGGAGUUUAUGAGGCUUUUUUAGUCCGGUGUUGCGUUGAGACAUUGCUUCCAUAAUUAUUUAAGGAAUUACUUAGUUGAUUGAUUGAUUGAAUUGCUUAGUGGAGUACGGACAUUACUGCUUUAUUCUGAAGCAUGAUUUUUCCACUCACUAGGUCGGAGGAUACAAGCAAAUGCGGAAGCUGAAUCUGACGCCCCUGUAGAUCCGCCAAAGGUUGAGGAAAAGCUUGGUGCUGUUCCACAUGGUUUAUCCACUGAUUCUGAUGUCGUUAAAAGGUUUCCGAAUCGUUGAUUCAUUUAGUUUGUUUCGCUCUGAUUCAUUGCCUUCAGCUUCUUUGUAUGUUCAUUGCUCUGAGUACUAUAUCAUUAUAGGGAAUCGGAGUCUAUGUCAAGGAAAACUCUCCGAGCUGAUGCAGAGAAAUUUGAGUUCCAAGCUGAGGUCUCUCGGCUUAUGGACAUCAUUAUCAACUCCCUUUACAGUAACAAGGACAUCUUCUUGAGGGAGCUGAUCUCGAAUGCAUCCGAUGUAAGCAUACUUUUAAGUCUCUGGGGAUGUUCGACAUUAUCUGCAAAUGAUUUCUUCUAAGUUAAUAUGCUGUUAAAUUCAGGCGCUGGACAAGAUUAGGUUCCUGUCACUUACUGACAAGGAAGUACUUGGGGAAGGUGAUAACACUGAGCUUGAGAUCCAGGUUGGUGAUUUGUGUCCGUUGUUUGUGUAUACUCUGUUGGUUGCUAGUACAGGAAGUUGCUCUUUUAAAAGCUGUUCUGAUGAUUGUAUUGUUUAUUGCAGAUUAAACUGGAUAAAGAAAAGAAAAUUCUUUCCAUUCGUGACAGAGGUAUAGGAAUGACUAAGGAGGAUUUAAUAAAGAACUUGGGAACUAUAGCUAAAUCUGGAACUUCAGGUAAUCUAUCUGGUGGAUAUGAGAUUUGUGGUGUUCUUGGAGUUCUCUUUACUGUUCACUAAUUUGUUAUUGCUCAACAGCCUUUGUUGAGAAGAUGCAGACAAGUGGAGACCUUAAUCUGAUUGGACAAUUUGGUGUUGGGUUUUACUCGGUCUAUCUUGUAGCUGACUAUGUUGAGGUCAUCAGCAAGCAUAACGAUGACAAACAGUAUGUUCUUGUUUGAAUGUGUUGAUUAAUGACAAUUCAUGUAAUGGGAAUGUUGUUAGUGAUUUAACAAAUUUCUGCAUUCAGAUAUGUCUGGGAGUCGAAGGCUGAUGGGGCAUUUGCCAUUUCUGAGGAUGUAUGGAAUGAACCUCUUGGUCGUGGAACCGAAAUUAGAUUGCACCUCAGAGAUGAAGCAGGAGAAUAUUUGGACGAGUACAAACUGAAGGUGUGUCUGAUAGAUACUUCCCAAGGAGACUCUUUUCAUAUAUCAUGAAUUGGUGCAUGCCAACACUUUAAUAUUUCACCAGUCAUUUAGAGUAAUUUUUAUUUUUCAUUCUAAUAUUGAUUUUGGCAUAGUAGGUAAUAAUAUAUUAUAAUGCUGAAAUAAAUGGAAAUAAACAAUCUUAACCUUUUGUGCCUUGGUAUUGAUUUAUCAAUUCCUUUUUGUCCCACAUUAUCCAUUAGACCUUUGUAUAAGGUAAAUAGUUUUAUUAACAUUUGGGGGAACCCCUUGUACAAGCUGUAUACCAAAAAAAGAGAACCUACACCAAAAUAUGGUUCUCAACAAACGAGAUCCAAUCUUAUAUACAAUUAGGGACCUCAUGAGCACACCUAAAAGAAACUAGAAACAAAAGACUACUUUGCAAUUUUAUAAACUCUUGUUCCACUCCUUCAAAUGCCUUUCUAUUUCUCUCUUUCCAAAUAACCCACAUGAUUGCUAAGGGGGCAACACUCCAUGUCCUUAGACUUUCUUCCCACUUCUAUGAGCCCAACUAUGCAGCACUUCCUUCACUGAACCCGCACAUCAUCCGCUAGAUUAUAUUCUAUUGCAGACUAGAAGUAAAUACUUUCCAAAAUUGAGGAACAUAACGAAGACCAGGGCAGUAAAAGGGCUGCAAACGUUUGUGACCCAUUGAUUUGAAGCUAGUUCUAGGUUGUUUUCUUAUAUGAAUUUUUCUGCUCCCCCUUAGGAUUAUUUUAUUAUUUGGACCUUUGAUUGAAAGGGUGCAGUCUAACAGAAGAAACAACAGGACCAAUUACUUGAUAUUCCAUAAGUCUUGUAUUACAGUGGUUGAGAAUGAGAUGAUUAAGCUUAUGGAUGAAUUGCUAACUAAAAGUAAAAGUCUGUGAUAUUUGGGCUGUUUCUGUUUUAGCAUAUUCAAUCUUGUGCUUGUGUGUCUGUGUGGAGGUACCGUAAAUUUUUGUAGUUAGAAAAAAAAGCCCAACCUGUUGUUCUGUUGACUAAGUUUUUGGAUUCUUACAUUUUGGUACUUGUCAUCAGCAUCUAUCCUGAAUAUUCUCUACUCCAAAUUUGAUUAUUUUCCAGUUCAAGUUACCAGAUUAAAUUGAAAAUAAGAGUUUCUAUGGACAUACUUUCUGUUUCUAAAAUAAUAUUAUGUUUCUGAAGCUUCUGUUGAGGUUCUCUACAUUGCUUAAUGCAUGGGUUACCUUGUAUUCAGGACCUGGUGAAGAAAUACUCUGAAUUCAUCAACUUCCCUAUAAAUCUUUGGGCAAGCAAAGAGGUUGAGAAGGAGGUUCCUGUCGAUGGAGACGAGUCAAGUGAUGAAGAGGAAACAUGUAUGCGUGAUUCAUCCUACUUGGCUUGCCAAGUUUAUUCAGUGUUAACGAAGUCGGAACUUGUAGUGAAUGUGUUUAAUGCAUAUUUUAAGACCUGUUCCCUGCUCGGAGAAAUUGUUUGAGGUUUUGGGGGUGUGGGGGGUGUGGUAGGUUGCUAGAUGAAUUAAAGUUUACCCCCUCAUCUUUUAAUCUUAUGCGACCUCAUAGUCUUUCAAUGUUGUGAACAGCUGAAACCAGCCCUUCUGAAGAAGAAGGAGAUGAAGAUGAUUCUGAGAAGCCAGAAGAUGAGAAAAAGCCUAAAACUAAGAAAGUGAAGGAAACCACUUAUGAGUGGGAGCUUUUGAAUGAUGUGAAAGCUAUAUGGCUUCGGAAUCCAAAGGAGGUGACAGAGGAAGAGUAUACGAAAUUCUAUCACUCACUUGCAAAGGUAAAUUGCUACUUACAUACUUUCUUCCACUUGAAAUGCAGUGAGAAGAGUAGAAAACUUUUGUGAACUCUCUUAUCAUUUGCUAAAUUCUUGUAUUAUUUUGCCAGGACUUCAGUGAUGAGAAGCCCUUUGCUUGGAGUCACUUUAAUGCUGAAGGUGAUGUUGAGUUCAAGGCUGUACUGUUUGUCCCUCCUAAGGCUCCUCAAGAUUUAUAUGAAAGCUACUACAACUCCAAGAAAUCCAACUUGAAGUUAUAUGUCAGACGGGUCUUUAUCUCUGAUGAAUUUGACGAAUUGCUGCCCAAGUACUUGAGUUUCCUAAUGGUAGUUCUUGUUACUCUAGAACUUCACUGUUUAUAUUACGUAUGGGCCAAGAGUUUCUAACGCCAUUUUGUUUGACAUUAUGCUAGGGUCUUGUUGAUUCUGACACCUUACCCCUCAAUGUCUCAAGAGAAAUGCUUCAGCAGCACAGCAGCUUGAAGACAAUUAAGAAGAAACUCAUCCGCAAGGCCCUUGACAUGAUACGCAAGAUUGCUGAUGAGGAUCCUGAUGAAUCUAACGACAAGGAUAAGAAAGGUUAGUUUAUAUCUCUGAACAAUCCAUUGCCUAAGAGAUUGAAUUUCUCAUUUCCUCUUUUCUGAGUUUCUCAUGACGUUACAGAUGUUGAAGAAUCCAGUGCAGACAACGAGAAGAAAGGUCAAUACACAAAGUUUUGGAAUGAAUUUGGAAAGUCAGUAAAACUUGGUAUCAUAGAAGAUGCAACUAACAGAAAUCGCUUGGCUAAGCUCCUCCGAUUUGAGACGUAUGCCCUGUGUCUUAAGAGUAAUUCUUUGAUGAGAUUGUUAAGUCAAAUCAGGGUGACUGAUCCCUUGUCGUCUUAAUAUUUUCUCGUUUACAGCUCAAAAUCAGAUGGUAAACUAACUUCCCUAGAUCAGUACAUCUCAAGGAUGAAGGCUGGACAGAAGGAUAUCUUCUAUAUAACUGGAGCUAGCAAAGAGCAGUUGGAGAAAUCACCAUUCCUUGAGAGGCUAACUAAGAAAAAUUAUGAGGUAUGAGUCUUUCUUAAGAUUGCAUGGGAAAGCUGCAUAACAAAAUAGUAGUUUAUUUUAACAGAAAGUAUUAGUCAUCUUUUCUUGCAUUGUGAGUUUGACUAUGUUCCUUGUCUUUGAUAUUUAAAUUCUCUUAUAAAUGCAUUUAUCAUGUCUGCUCUAAAGAUUCAUUUGCUAAGUUUCCCUUGUUUAGGUAAUUUUCUUCACGGAUCCCGUAGAUGAAUACCUGAUGCAGUACCUUAUGGACUAUGAAGACAAUAAGUUCCAAAAUGUAUCCAAAGAGGGCCUGAAACUGGGCAAGGAUUCAAAAGCCAAAGAGCUCAAGGAGUCAUUUAAGG
This 21109-nucleotide long non-coding RNA is filed under the name Nicotiana tabacum (common tobacco). RNAcentral's name for it is "long non-coding RNA (NTAB_LNC015631)". Lineage: Eukaryota; Viridiplantae; Streptophyta; Magnoliopsida; Solanales; Solanaceae. The record is from RNAcentral.